AUGCAACAAACAUGUAGAAUAAGCCAAGAGACGUUCU
Molecule: small RNA, 37 nt
Filed under: Arabidopsis thaliana (thale cress)
Lineage: Eukaryota; Viridiplantae; Streptophyta; Magnoliopsida; Brassicales; Brassicaceae
Description: ATSL166890
Source: RNAcentral